This 19-nucleotide small nuclear RNA is filed under the name Arabidopsis thaliana (thale cress). RNAcentral's name for it is "snRNA_16361". The record is from RNAcentral. Lineage: Eukaryota; Viridiplantae; Streptophyta; Magnoliopsida; Brassicales; Brassicaceae.
CCCGCCGCCCGAUUGCCGA